Molecule: ribosomal RNA, 397 nt
Filed under: uncultured bacterium
Lineage: Bacteria
Description: partial 16S ribosomal RNA
Rfam family: Bacterial small subunit ribosomal RNA
Source: RNAcentral
AUACGUAGGGGGCGAGCGUUGUCCGGAAUGAUUGGGCGUAAAGGGCGCGUAGGCGGCCCGGUAAGUCUGGAGUGAAAGUCCUGUUUUUAAGAUGGGAAUUGCUUUGGAUACUGUCGGGCUUGAGUGCAGGAGAGGUAAGUGGAAUUCCCAGUGUAGCGGUGAAAUGCGUAGAGAUUGGGAGGAACACCAGUGGCGAAGGCGACUUACUGGACUGUAACUGACGCUGAGUCGCGAAAGUGUGGGGAGCAAACAGGAUUAGAUACCCUGGUAGUCCACACUGUAAACGAUGAAUGCUAGGUGUAGGGGGUAUCGACCCCUUCUGUGCCGCAGUCAACACAAUAAGCAUUCCGCCUGGGGAGUACGGCCGCAAGGUUGAAACUUAAAGGAAUUGACGGGG